UACGGAGGGUGCGAGCGUUAAUCGGAAUUACUGGGCGUAAAGCGCACGCAGGCGGUUAAUUAAGUUAGAUGUGAAAUCCCCGGGCUUAACCUGGGAAUGGCAUCUAAGACUGGUUAGCUAGAGUCUUGUAGAGGGGGGUAGAAUUCCAGGUGUAGCGGUGAAAUGCGUAGAGAUGGGGAGGAAUACCGGUGGCGAAGGCGACCCCUUAGGAAUGUACUGACGAUCAGGUGCGAAAGCGUGGGGAGCAAACAGG
Molecule: ribosomal RNA, 253 nt
Filed under: uncultured bacterium
Lineage: Bacteria
Description: partial 16S ribosomal RNA
Rfam family: Bacterial small subunit ribosomal RNA
Source: RNAcentral